CACGCCCUAAACGAUGUCAACUAGGUGUUGGGUGGGUAAAACCAUUUAGUACCGGAGCUAACGCGUGAAGUUGACCGCCUGGGGAGUACGGCCGCAAGGUUAAAACUCAAAGGAAUUGACGGGGACCCGCACAAGCGGUGGAUGAUGUGGAUUAAUUCGAUGCAACGCGAAAAACCUUACCUACCCUUGACAUGUCAGGAACUUGCCAGAGAUGGCUUGGUGCUCGAAAGAGAACCUGAACACAGGUGC
RNAcentral lists this ribosomal RNA (249 nucleotides) under uncultured bacterium. Its description in RNAcentral is "partial 16S ribosomal RNA". It matches the Rfam family "Bacterial small subunit ribosomal RNA", at positions 796 to 1041 of the family's 1533-position model. RNAcentral also lists the same sequence under 1 other name. The record is from RNAcentral.